AUGUUAGAUCUAAGCUUCGAAGGGCACGGCGGCGCCAUGGCGACGGAGCAGAAUCUAAUGAAUACUGGAGUAUACGGGCAAGAAAGAUUCCUUGGUUUAUUAGAAAGUGCGAAUAAUGGGGAGCUAUUCUACGGCGAUGAGAUGAGUGCACUAGAAACAGUCAAUGAAGGAAGCGAGUCAGAUAUGUAUUCAGGUUCAGAGAAGAUGCUGUCAAAUGUUCAUGCAUGGCAAAACAAUGACAAGGCCAACAAAGUAUGUAUGCAAAUUUCAGAGACCAGGGGGGGGGGCGAGCAGAUUUCUGAAAGAGAUACUUCUUGGGUUAGAAGGCAUCGGCGAGGAGCAAUGCCCGAUGAGAGAACUAUACAAGCAGAGAGGGUUACAACACUUGAAAGUGCAAUUAGGGGUUUUGCUGAAAGGAAAACUGCUUCAGUCAUUACACCAAAUCUAGGAUUGAGUUAUGAUUCGUUGACAGAAGCUUACGACUUUUACAACCUUUAUUCAUGGGAAUGUGGCUUUGGCAUACGUUACGGGAAGAGCAGAAUUAAUGUGAAAGGAGCGAGGUGUAUGAAGGAGUUUGUUUGCAGUUGUUCGGGGAAACCGAAUAAGGAGAAUAGCAGUUCAUGCAGAACAAAGUGUCGUGCAAUGGUGAGGCUACUACAAACUGAUGACGGGGGGUGGUAUAUAUAUGAGAACAAGACAGAGCACAAUCAUGAACAGCUUGAUACUUGUGCUUCUAAGCUACAUUUUCCUUCGCAUAGGCACAUAUAUAAGUACACUAGAGAAUUGGUGGCGCAUCUUAGGCAGAAUAAUGUUAAUCUUAGUAAGGUGUACAACAUCAUUGGAACCUAUUUUGGGAGGAUUGAGAACGUCCCAUUCACCAAAAGGUGCUUGCGUACACUGUGUGGGAAAAUUAGUAGAGAACAAGCUGAUGACGAUGUGCGUAAAACAAUAGAACUUUUCUCGGAGAUGAAAGAGAAAGAUAGUGAUUUUUCUUACGCAGUUCAAGUGGAUGAUGAAAGCAGGAUUAGGACAUUGUUGUGGUCUAAUGGAAGAAGUAAAUUGCAAUACCACUAUUUCGGAGAUGCAGUGACAUUUGACACUACUUACAAGACAAACAUGUACGACAUGCCAUUUGGGCUGUUUGUAGGUGUCAACAAUCAUUUCCAGAGCACUAUUUUUGUUGGCGUUCUUAUGAGGGACGAGCAGUCAGAAAUUUACGAAUGGGUUUUCCAUGAAUUUGUGAAGAUGAUGGGAGGAAAGGUUCCGGUCACUAUUCUAACUGGUAAUUUUCUUUGUUUGUUUUCGAUAUGA
Molecule: ribosomal RNA, 1311 nt
Filed under: Triticum aestivum (bread wheat)
Lineage: Eukaryota; Viridiplantae; Streptophyta; Magnoliopsida; Poales; Poaceae
Description: partial small subunit ribosomal RNA
Source: RNAcentral